RNAcentral lists this ribosomal RNA (1572 nucleotides) under Triticum aestivum (bread wheat). RNAcentral's name for it is "partial small subunit ribosomal RNA". The record is from RNAcentral. Lineage: Eukaryota; Viridiplantae; Streptophyta; Magnoliopsida; Poales; Poaceae.
AUGAUGAGCAGCGCUGGGAAUCCGAAGAGAAAAGCCAUGUGCCGGUCGGUGUGGCUCCGGCGGCAGCGAGCCAAAACGAAUUAUCAUGGACCGAGGCUUUCAUUAGCUGCAACGAAGUGUCCACCUUGCCAAGAACAUGACAAUCCAGAGGUUGCCAAAGACACUAUACAAGUGAUUGAGCUUGGUAAAUUUCCCGAGGAUAUCUUGCAUCACAUACACUCCCUUGUGCCACUGCGAGAUGCUGCUCGUGCUGCCUGUGUCUCUCGUAGAUUUUUACGCUCAUGGAAAUGCUUUCCUAACCUUACAUUCAAUUGGAAAACAUUGGGGUUGAAUAUGCAAGAGGGCACGCCAUAUGAUAGAGCAAAGAAAAUUGUGGACAGAAUCUACCACAUACUCAAAAACCACUCUGGCAUUGGGGUGAAGAUACUUAAGCUCCAAGUUCAUUCAUGCAGCAAUGUUAUCACGGCUAACCUUCUUGGCAUUUGGCUUGAAACUGCUGUUAAGUCUGGAAUCGUAGAACUUGCUGUGGACCUUCCUCAAGAUCAAAGUGCGAAGUACGACUUUCCAUGUUCGGUUUUAUCUUGUGCCGCAAGCUCAAUUCAGUCUCUCGCCCCCUCAGCUUGUGCUUUUCGUCCGACAAUUAUAAUUGACUGCUUCAGAAACUUGAAAAGUCUAUGUCUGAAACUUGUUCUCAUUACUGAGGAGGAACUAGGAUGCUUCUUCUCCUGUACAAUUUCUUUAGAAAAGUUGGAAGUUUCCCAGUGCAAUGAGAUCACUUUCUUGAAGAUACCUUCUCAUCUGCAGCAGCUUUGUAUCCUGCGGGUGUUUCUAUGCCAAAAGCUGCAGGUGGUAGAAAUUUAUGCUCCAAAGGUAGCCACGUUUAUGUUCCGUGGGCCGCCGACGAAAAUAUCAAUCACCAACCCGUCUCAACUGAAGAUCAUGACUAUGGAUGGUUCAUUUUAUGCUGGCAUGUUCCACCAUGCUCUGACCAAGCUUCAUUCCAUCACGUCGAAUCUUCACACACUUGUCUUGUGCUCAUCUAGAGAGGCCUUCAAUACUCCAGCGUCAGCUGCCAAAUUCCUCCAGCUGAGGCACUUGAAGAUUUAUUGUUGUAGCAGUCAAUUUGAAAGCUUUGAUUUUUUAUCUCUGAUUUCCUUUCUCGAAGCUUGUCCUGUGCUGGAAACUUUCUUCUUAUCGGUAAGUCGACAUUAUUUAAGGCCAGAGCCAACUUCCCAAAAGUUGGAUGUGGAUUCUUGGCAUAUCAGGAAGAUUCCUGGAUUCCGCCAUGACAAGCUCAAGAAAGCAUCCAUCACUGGAAUCAACUCGUCAAAGAGCUUGAUUGAGCUAACAUGUCAAAUUCUUAAGAAUUCCUCAUCACUAGAAUGCCUUGUGCUCGACACUACUAGUGGUUAUGGUAAUUCAGGCAUAUGUGGAAAUAUGGAUAGAGAAGCAGUCAUGGAUGCCCUUGAAGGUGUCAAGGCUAUCAAAAGACAUGUUGAGGGGCAAGUUCCCGACGGUGUUAAUGUCGAGGUUUUGAAGCCCUGUGAUCGGUGCCAUAUUUCCAAACUCUGA